This 566-nucleotide long non-coding RNA is filed under the name Cricetulus griseus (Chinese hamster). RNAcentral describes it as "lncRNA (ENSCGRG00015040616.1)". Lineage: Eukaryota; Metazoa; Chordata; Mammalia; Rodentia; Cricetidae. The record is from RNAcentral.
CUUUGUUCUAAGUCUGGCGGGUGCCUCCUGGGCUGCCUCUGCCUGCCCCACCUUCCCCUCCAGCCCCUAGCCUCAGCCUGCGUGCACCAGCAGAUUCUGGCUCCCUAAUUGUAAGUCACCAUAGUGGUUUAUCAACCCCUACUGCGGUUGACACCAUCAGUCAUCUGGACAGUGUGGAUCUACUUUAGAACUCGGCUCAGGGUGCUUGAACGACACAGAUCCCAGGACGCUGAGUUAGUAACCAGAUCCAUAGCAAAAGCUCUGAACAGAGACACUCGGUUUCCACGAAGGUUAGCCUGAAAUACCUGGUAGGCCAGACCUUCAAGACAUCAAAUCCACUCUCUGGUGAAGAGAGGGAGCCGGGGUUCCUUGGGAGGUGGGAUGCACUCUUCAUCGGUCACCACAAAACAAACAUCUUGAGGAAUUCAGUCGUUUCUAUCCUAACAACAAACCAAUGUUUGAUUCCAUCAAAGUUCCCCUUCAGGAAACUGAUGGUUCAAAGCCCAUGAUUUGAGAAGCAGACAGGCUGCACUCAGCAUCUUUUACCAAUCAUACCUGAGAUGGAG